AGGGUGCAAGCGUUAAUCGGAAUUACUGGGCGUAAAGCGAGCGUAGGUGGCUUGAUAAGUCAGAUGUGAAAUCCCCGGGCUUAACCUGGGAACUGCAUCUGAAACUGUUAGGCUAGAGUAGGUGAGAGGGAAGUAGAAUUCCAGGUGUAGCGGUGAAAUGCGUAGAGAUCUGGAGGAAUACCGAUGGCGAAGGCAGCUUCCUGGCAUCAUACUGACACUGAGGCUCGAAAGCGUGGGUAGCAAACAGGAUUAGAUACCCUGGUAGUCCACGCCGUAA
RNAcentral lists this ribosomal RNA (277 nucleotides) under uncultured bacterium. RNAcentral's name for it is "partial 16S ribosomal RNA". It matches the Rfam family "Bacterial small subunit ribosomal RNA", at positions 529 to 805 of the family's 1533-position model. The record is from RNAcentral.